Molecule: long non-coding RNA, 162 nt
Organism: Etheostoma spectabile (orangethroat darter)
Lineage: Eukaryota; Metazoa; Chordata; Actinopteri; Perciformes; Percidae
Exons: 3
Source: RefSeq, a predicted model, not a curated record
GUGUCAAUCACUGCUCAUGCACAAACAUUCAUUCUCCCUUGUGCGGGGGGCUUUAGCGGAGAGGGAGGAGGGACUGAGAAGUUGUCUAUGUUCAAAUUUUUUGGCUAAGUCCUAGAUCUUCGCAAUCCUACCUACGGCACCUUUAACAUGCUCAGAUAAGUG